GGAGAAACUUGCGGAAGGAUCAUUACCGAGUGCGGGCCCUCGCGGCCCAACCUCCCACCCUUGUCUCUAUACACCUGUUGCUUUGGCGGGCCCACCGGGGCCACCUGGUCGCCGGGGGACGCACGUCUCCGGGCCCGCGCCCGCCGAAGCGCUCUGUGAACCCUGAUGAAGAUGGGCUGUCUGAGUACUGUGAAAAUUGUCAAAACUUUCAACAAUGGAUCUCUUGGUUCCGGCAUCGAUGAAGAACGCAGCGAAAUGCGAUAAGUAAUGUGAAUUGCAGAAUUCCGUGAAUCAUCGAAUCUUUGAACGCACAUUGCGCCCCCUGGCAUUCCGGGGGGCAUGCCUGUCCGAGCGUCAUUUCUGCCCUCAAGCACGGCUUGUGUGUUGGGUGUGGUCCCCCCGGGGACCUGCCCGAAAGGCAGCGGCGACGUCCGUCUGGUCCUCGAGCGUAUGGGGCUCUGUCACUCGCUCGGGAAGGACCUGCGGGGGUUGGUCACCACCAUGUUUUACCACGGUUGACCUCGGAAAAGGUAGGU
This 536-nucleotide ribosomal RNA is filed under the name Penicillium sp. ASR-192. RNAcentral describes it as "eukaryotic LSU rRNA". The stretch from base 204 to 357 matches the Rfam family "5.8S ribosomal RNA". Lineage: Eukaryota; Fungi; Ascomycota; Eurotiomycetes; Eurotiales; Aspergillaceae. The record is from RNAcentral.